This 548-nucleotide long non-coding RNA is filed under the name Anser brachyrhynchus (Pink-footed goose). RNAcentral describes it as "lncRNA (ENSABRG00000011848.1)". The record is from RNAcentral. Lineage: Eukaryota; Metazoa; Chordata; Aves; Anseriformes; Anatidae.
CUCCAAGCUUGUUGUUAGGUGCUGCAGUUUUGUGAAAGUCCUACAUCAAACAAGGAUACUGAUUUGACCGACUGGCACUGAGUAGAAAGUUCAGAUGAUACCAUCCUACUAUCUCUUGAUAGAAACUUUCACAGCACUGCCUGAGGAGAGGGAAAAUCCCAACACACAUGCAUACACCUCCUUUAAUUCCUAGAAGGUUACUCUAGCUCAGUGCCUAUCAGGUUGCUGUUGCCUAGGAUUUUACAGCUGUACUUAGAGAAGAUAAUCUGUGAUCAGUCCAUCUCAUCUGUAUGAUCACAGGUGCACUAUAUGUGCUCUUCUGACUACAGGCACCUCACAGGCGCUCCAGAUAGCACAUAGCAGUCAACCAAAUGGGAAGUUUAGGACUGAGAGCAGAUUGCUGUGGGGCACGGGAGGAAGUUUUCCCCCCAGGUUGAUGAAAGGCCCACCCCCAGCUCCUGCUGGCAUGCUAUAAUGCUCCUGGAAAGGAGAGCAGAGAAGAUCAAAAGCAAAAUACUACCAAAGAGCAAAACCUAUAAAGAUUCCUC